UUUUUAUGUUUAUGUGGUUGGUGACGAUUUAGAUUAUGAAUUAAAGAUGUUGAAUUUACUUUAAAACAUGCACAAAUUUGAAAUCAGAAAAUAUUUUUAAAUUUUUUGGUUAAUGUUUUUGAUGAUCAUAUGUUUUAUUUAAAUGUGUGUUUGAUUACAAUUACAAUAAAAAAACAAAACGGCAAUGAAAACUUCCAGUUUAUGCUAGGGUUAAUUGCUAUAAUGGUUUCCUGAAAAUGGGUUUAUGGUUUAUAAUUUUGUUGUGAUCAUUUUAGAAUCAAGUCAUGGAUAAGAGUGGAAUAUGAAAGGAUUGGCAGAUCAUUGAUUUUAGAUUAUAUACAGCCUUAGUGGAGGAGGAUUUUAUGUUUGUAAUUUGAUGUCUGAUUUGUAUAUUAUAGUUUUGUUGUCUUGUAUUAACUAGUUCAUUUAUCUUUAAGUACCUUUGGCUGAGUUUUGAGAAAUGCACAUAAAAGGAAACUGAAUCGAUUUAUUUAUGCCCAUUUUUUCUGUUGUUUUAUAAUUUUGUUGUUACAUUCAGUGUAUACUGGUCAGUUCUUUUGUAGGUGUCUAUUAUAUUCUUUUGAUGACUACAAAUUUGAAAAUGAAAUGUUUUCUUUGUAACGAUUGCUUCUGCUUUCUGGUUUAACUGUAGGUUUUUGGACUCAUUCACGAUCUUGUGGCUGAGGACGUAAUUAUAAUUUAUUCAAGUCUUUAAUCCUUCAGCUUUCGUAGAACUAUUUAUUUCUGAAUUGUUUGUCACAUACUUUGGAGCACUGCAUGAGUGUUUGCAUUGUGAUCACAAAGUAUAAAGAUUUCAUAGUUUCAAUUGUAGCGCAUAGAGAUUCAGAAGGUUGCGGUAGGAAAUCUAUAUAGGGUGCUUGUGGUAGGUGUACAUGCAAUUAUUGGUAACACAUUAUUAGCUGCAUUUCAAAUCACAUUAUUGUACGAUGGAUACCUUUGCUGACUUCAUUUUGUUUAAUUCAUGUUUAACCAUGUUUCAUAUCUCACAUUAGUGUUGUUUAUUAGUUAGAGAUUGUUAAUGGUUGCAAUACAUAUAUGUAUAGUUGUCCUAUUCAAUGGAAUCAUUUCACUUUGACCUUGUAUACUGAAGUUUCAUUGGAAGGUUAUGCCCGAAAGUUAAGAAAGCUAAUAUUUGAAUUGAUGGAUUUAUUGCGAUUGCUUGAUGGACUAUGAGUCUGUUAGGGAUUGGCUUGAGCAAGAAGGAAGGACUAGGUAGCAUUAAAAUUCAAUGUGGGUUAUGGGGUUUCUUUCUCAUUCCACUGAUUGCUUACAUACGCAAUUCUACAAUGAUCCAAUCAUGGUAAAAUAUUUCUUAUGCAUCUCAAAUUAUGGAAAAGAGUUGUUGUUGUUCACUUUCUUUUUUUUUCUCUUCUCUUGCAGGCUUACAUGUUUAAGUGUGAUUACAUUCAUGGAGUUUUUAAUUGAACCCUCAAGGUUGUGGAUGAAUCCACUUUGGAAAUAAAUGAGAAGCAGAUUAAAAUUUUUAGCAAAAGGGACCCGGUUGAGAUCCCUUGGGGUGAUUAUGGGGCUAAGUAUAUUGUUGAAUCUUUUGGGGUCUUCACAACAACUGACAAGGCUUCAGCUCACAUAAAGGAAAAAAUGAUACAUUCAUGCAACAAUGCUUGAAGAAGCAGCUCAUCUUACUUGAAGGAGCAGAAGCAGAGUUAAGGCAUAUAGUGCAACAAAAAAAAAAAAA
Molecule: long non-coding RNA, 1717 nt
Organism: Pistacia vera
Lineage: Eukaryota; Viridiplantae; Streptophyta; Magnoliopsida; Sapindales; Anacardiaceae
Exons: 3
Source: RefSeq, a predicted model, not a curated record